GAGGAAUAUUGGUCAAUGGACGCGAGUCUGAACCAGCCAAGUAGCGUGAAGGAUGACUGCCCUAUGGGUUGUAAACUUCUUUUAUAAGGGAAUAAAGUGAGGGACGUGUCCCUUUUUGUAUGUACCUUAUGAAUAAGGAUCGGCUAACUCCGUGCCAGCAGCCGCGGUAAUACGGAGGAUCCAAGCGUUAUCCGGAUUUAUUGGGUUUAAAGGGAGCGUAGGUUGACAUAUAAGUCAGCUGUGAAAGUUUACGGCUCAACCGUGAAAUUGCAGUUGAUACUGUAUGUCUUGAGUGUACAAGAGGUGGGCGGAAUUCGUGGUGUAGCGGUGAAAUGCUUAGAUAUCACGAAGAACUCCAAUUGCGAAGGCAGCUCACUGGGGUACAACUGACACUGAGGCUCGAAAGUGUGGGUAUCAAACA
Molecule: ribosomal RNA, 421 nt
Filed under: uncultured Bacteroides sp.
Lineage: Bacteria; Pseudomonadati; Bacteroidota; Bacteroidia; Bacteroidales; Bacteroidaceae
Description: bacterial SSU rRNA
Rfam family: Bacterial small subunit ribosomal RNA
Source: RNAcentral